GCGGCUGUAGCUCAGCUGGAUAGAGUACCUGGCUACGAACCAGGCGGUCGCAGGUUCGACUCCUGCCAGCCGCACCA
RNAcentral lists this transfer RNA (77 nucleotides) under Alkalimarinus alittae. RNAcentral describes it as "Alkalimarinus sp. A2M4 tRNA-Arg". It matches the Rfam family "tRNA". From Rfam's summary of the family: Transfer RNA (tRNA) molecules are approximately 80 nucleotides in length. The record is from RNAcentral. Lineage: Bacteria; Pseudomonadati; Pseudomonadota; Gammaproteobacteria; Alteromonadales; Alteromonadaceae.